AACCUGGUUGAUCCUGCCAGUAGUCAUAUGCUUGUCUCAAAGACUAAGCCAUGCAUGUCUAAGUAUAAGUGUUAUACAGCGAAACUGCGAAUGGCUCAUUAAAACAGUUAUAGUUUAUUUGAUAAUCGAAUUUACAUGGAUAACCGUGGUAAUUCUAGAGCUAAUACAUGCUGGUAGGCCCGACUUUUGCGGAAGGGCGGUAUUUAUUAGAUAACAAGCCAAUAUUCCUCUGGUCUAUUGUGGUGACUCCUAAUAACUGAUCGAAUCGCAAGACCUUUGGCCGCGAUAAGUCAUUCAAGUUUCUGCCCCAUCAGCUUUCGAUGGUAGUGUAUUGGACUACCAUGGCGUUUACGGGUAACGGAGGAUUAGGGUUCGAUUCCGGAGAGGGAGCCUGAGAAACGGCUACCACAUCUAAGGAAGGCAGCAGGCGCGUAAAUUACCCAAUCCUGACUCAGGGAGGUAGUGACAAGAAAUAACGGACCGAGGCCUUCGGGCUUCGGGAUUGGAAUGAGCCGAAUUUACACCCCUUAGCGAAGAUCGGUUGGAGGGCAAGUCUGGUGCCAGCAGCCGCGGUA
RNAcentral lists this ribosomal RNA (575 nucleotides) under uncultured marine eukaryote. Its description in RNAcentral is "SSU rRNA". It matches the Rfam family "Eukaryotic small subunit ribosomal RNA", at positions 1 to 581 of the family's 1831-position model. The record is from RNAcentral.